GGGUAUAUGUGAAAAUUUUAGUAUGACCACAUUCGUGGAGGAUAGGUCUACCAAGAAAGUCAAUUUAAGGGACAUGCAGUUCCUUAAAAGUUUUAGUAAUUGAUUUGUUUGCCUUUGUGUUAACAAAAAUAUAUUUGGAAGGUGCUUAGUUUGGGAGAAUGGAGGUCUGAAAUAGAUGACUUUCAUUUUAACUGUUUGGUUGGAGGG
Molecule: long non-coding RNA, 207 nt
Filed under: Elaeis guineensis (African oil palm)
Lineage: Eukaryota; Viridiplantae; Streptophyta; Magnoliopsida; Arecales; Arecaceae
Description: long non-coding RNA (EGUI_LNC016006)
Source: RNAcentral